RNAcentral lists this long non-coding RNA (256 nucleotides) under Elaeis guineensis (African oil palm). RNAcentral's name for it is "long non-coding RNA (EGUI_LNC023543)". The record is from RNAcentral. Lineage: Eukaryota; Viridiplantae; Streptophyta; Magnoliopsida; Arecales; Arecaceae.
ACAAGUUAAACUUGUGGAGCCUUGGUCUUCUUCCUCUCUCUCCAUACUUUAUUUCUCCUCCAAAGAGAAUGCAAGCAAUCUACCAUUGCUCCUCCCCUCUUGUUCCUCCUUCUCCUCUGACUUCUUCUCCUCCUAUUUCUUCUUUUUGUCUAGUGAUAGGGCGAGAUAGCUUUGGAAGGUCCUCAGUUCAACAAACAUAUAACCAGCAACCAUUGUUAGAUGAAAAGGAGAAGUCAAUGAGGGAGGGAUCUUCCCC